UACACGACCGUACCGCAAACCGACACUGGUGCGCGAGAUGAGUAUUCUAAGGCGCUUGAGAGAACUCAGGAGAAGGAACUCGGCAAAUUGACACCGUAACUUCGGAAGAAGGUGUGCCUUUAGUAGGUGAAGGGAUUUACUCCUGGAGCCCAAUGAGGUUGCAAAAAAUCGGUGGCUGCGACUGUUUAUUAAAAACACAGCACUCUGCAAACACGAAAGUGGACGUAUAGGGUGUGACGCCUGCCCGGUGCUGGAAGAUUAAAUGAUGGGGUGCAAGCUCUUGAUUGAAGUCCCAGUAAACGGCGGCCGUAACAAUAACGGUCCUAAGGUAGCGAAAUUCCUUGUCGGGUAAGUUCCGACCUGCACGAAUGGCGUAACGAUGGCCACACUGUCUCCUCCUGAGACUCAGCGAAGUUGAAAUGUUUGUGAUGAUGCAAUCUCCCCGCGGAAAGACGGAAAGACCCCAUGAACCUUUACUGUAGCUUUGUAUUGGACUUUGAACAGAUCUGUGUAGGAUAGGUGGGAGGCUUUGAAGCAGGGUCGCUAGAUCUUGUGGAGCCAACGUUGAAAUACCACCCUGGUGUGUUUGAGGUUCUAACCUAGGCCCGUAAUCCGGGUUGGGGACAGUGCAUGGUAGGCAGUUUGACUGGCCGGUCUCCUCCCAAAGUGUAACGGAGGAGUUCGAAGGUACGCUAGUUACGGUCGGACAUCGUGACGAUAGUGCAAUGGCAUAAGCGUGCUUAACUGCGAGACUGACAAGUCGAGCAGAUGCGAAAGCAGGACAUAGUGAUCCGGUGGUUCUGUAUGGAAGGGCCAUCGCUCAACGGAUAAAAGGUACUCUGGGGAUAACAGGCUGAUACCGCCCAAGAGUUCAUAUCGACGGCGGUGUUUGGCACCUCGAUGUCGGCUCAUCUCAUCCUGGGGCUGUAGCCGGUCCCAAGGGUAUGGCUGUUCGCCAUUUAAAGAGGUACGUGAGCUGGGUUUAAAACGUCGUGAGACAGUUUGGUCCCUAUCUUCCGUGGGCGCUGCAGAUUUGAGGAAGCCUGCUCCUAGUACGAGAGGACCGGAGUGGACGCACCUCUGGUGUAUCGGUUGUCACGCCAGUGGCAUUGCCGAGUAGCUAUGUGCGGAAGAGAUAACCGCUGAAAGCAUCUAAGCGGGAAACUCGUUUCAAGAUGAGAUCUGCCGGGGCCUUGAGCCCCCUGAAGAGUCGUUCAAGACCAGGACGUUGAUAGGUCGGGUGUGGAAGCGCAGUAAUGCGUUAAGCUAACCGAUACUAAUUGCUCGUGCGGCUUGACCCU
This 1301-nucleotide ribosomal RNA is filed under the name metagenome. RNAcentral's name for it is "bacterial LSU rRNA". It matches the Rfam family "Bacterial large subunit ribosomal RNA", at positions 1635 to 2925 of the family's 2925-position model. The record is from RNAcentral.